This 1761-nucleotide unclassified non-coding RNA is filed under the name uncultured stramenopile. RNAcentral describes it as "sequence contains 18S rRNA gene, ITS1, 5.8S rRNA gene, ITS2, 28S rRNA gene". The stretch from base 631 to 1761 matches the Rfam family "Eukaryotic large subunit ribosomal RNA", at positions 1 to 961 of the family's 3401-position model. The record is from RNAcentral.
GGAAGGAUCAUUAACACUUUUUUUUUUUUCGUAAGAAAAAAAAAGAAUCACCCAAACGUGCUCUUUCUUUUUUUUUACACACCUUUAACCCCCCUUUUUACUAUGUAACCAAUGACUGACAUUCGAAAGUUUUGUGUAAUACAGAGCUUUUGUAAUAUGUUUUUUCGAAAACUUAUUAUAAACCUAAAAACACAACUCUUAACAAUGGAUAUCUUGGCUCUCGUAACGAUGAAGAACGCAGCGAAAUGCGAUACGUAAUGCGAAUUGCAGAACUCCGUGAAUCAUCAAAUCUUUGAACGCAACUUGCGCUCUCGGGAUAGCCCUGGGAGCAGGCCUCUCUGAGUAUCGAUUCAAACUCCUCUCGACAACAGAUUUUAUCUGUGUAGUCGGUCUAUGAGUUGUCACAUUAAUGUUUAUUUUAGUGUGUCACUUGAAAUUUUAGUCAGUUCUAAUCUGAUCAGUAACAAAACUUUACUGGUUGUUUUAGAUGUGGAUAGUGAUCUUUUAUGGAUCUCCAACUACAUUCUAUUACAAAUAAGCUAGUAUGGCGAGGUCUGAUCUCCUGAUUCGAGAACUCAAAAUUACUCCGUAUUUAGUGUUGUCUUAAAAACACACACUAGUCGAAAUUAACGAUCUCAGAUGAAGUCAGAAGACCCCCUGAAUUUAAGCAUAUUAUUAAGGGGAGGAAAAGAAACUAACAAGGAUUCCCCUAGUAACGGCGAGUGAAGCGGGAUGAGCUCAAGCUUGAAAUCGGUUAGCUAAGCGGCCAACCGAGUUGUAGCCUAAAGACGCGUGCUCAGGUAUGCCCUACGUAGAAGUCCUUUGGAACAGGGCAUCAUAGAGGGUGAGAAUCCCGUCUGUGACGUGGAGUGUGUACCGUACGAGCCGUGUUCGACGAGUCGAGUUGCUUGGGAUUGCAGCUCUAAGUGGGUGGUAAAUUCCAUCUAAAGCUAAAUAUCGACGAGAGACCGAUAGCGAACAAGUACCGUGAGGGAAAGAUGAAAAGAACUUUGAAAAGAGAGUUAAAAAGUACUUGAAAUUGUUAAGAGGGAAGCGCUGCAAGCCAGUGCAUACAGGACAGCUAUAUUUACUUUGUUUUGUGGUUGUCGGUGCUGUAAUGUGUGCUUCACCGCCACAUCAGGUACCGUAUGCUACCGACUUGGGUUUGUAGUUGUACGUGUGUCAGAAUCAAUUCGCUUCGAAAGACACGUUCUUGGGGAAGGUGGGGUGUUUCGGCACUCGUUAUAGCCCCUUGUUCAUAUUUCGUCGUGGAUUGAGGACUGUAAUGUGCGCCGCAAGGUUUCGGGCCUGUGUUGGUUUUGUUGCAGCAUUUGUAUCGAACAAUGUUCUCUGCUUUUGCUGUGGCUCUCCUCUUCACUACGCUUAGAAGUACAUUCGGGAUUCUGACUAAAUGGCUUGCAUCGACCCGUCUUGAAACACGGACCAAGGAGUCUAACAUAUAUGCGAGUAUUUGGGUGUGAAAACCCUGAUGCGUAAUGAAAGUGAAGGAAGCUUCGUGCUUCUGAGGUAGGAAUCUGUCUUGUUAGUGGGGCAGAGGCACUAUCGGCCGACCUGGGCUUGCUCAUGGUUUGCGCUCGAGCAUAUCUGUUGGGACCCGAAAGAUGGUGAUCUAUGCCUGAACAGGGUGAAGCCAGGGGAAACUCUGGUGGAGGCUCGUAGCGAUACUGACGUGCAAAUCGUUCGUCUGAUUUGGGUAUAGGGGCGAAAGACUAAUCGAACCAUCUAGUAGCUGGUUCCCUC